Molecule: long non-coding RNA, 1069 nt
Filed under: Cottoperca gobio
Lineage: Eukaryota; Metazoa; Chordata; Actinopteri; Perciformes; Bovichtidae
Description: lncRNA (ENSCGOG00000000692.1)
Source: RNAcentral
GUCCGACUGAAGAAGGAGUCCUUCCGGGUUAUGUUAUCCGGGAGGACUCCGGAAACAGUUGCAGGGUAUCGAAGGACUAGAAGGGCGGCAGCUUCUGCCGUGUCAGAGGCAAAGCAGCGGGUGUGGGAGAAGUUCGGAGAAGCUAUGGAGAAGGACUUUCGGUCGGCACCAAGGUGCUUCUGGAAAACCAUCCGGCACCUCAGGAGGGGGAAGCGAGGAACCAUCCAAGCUGUGUACAGCAAGGGUGGGACCCUGCUGACUUCAACUGAGAAGGUUAUCGGCCGGUGGAAGGAGCACUUUGAGGAACUCCUGAAUCCGACUAACACGCCCUCUAUGGUUGAGGCAGAGCUGGAAGCUGAUGGGGGAUCAUCGUCAAUUUCCCUGAUGGAAGUCACUGAGGUAGUCAAACAACUCCACAGUGGCAAAGCCGCAGGGGUUGAUGAGAUCCGUCCAGAAAUGCUGAAGGCUUUGGGUGUUGAGGGGCUGUCUUGGUUGACACGCCUCGUCAACAUUGCGUGGAAGUCUGGGACAGUGCCUAGGGGUUGGCAGACCGGGGUGGUGGUUCCCCUAUUUAAAAAGGGGGACCAGAGAGUGUGUGCCAACUACAGGGGUAUCACACUUCUCAGCCUCCCUGGUAAAGUCUACUCCAAGGUACUGGAAAGGAGGGUUCGGCCGGUAGUCGAACCUCUGAUUGAAGAGGAACAAUGCGGAUUCCGUCCUGGUCGUGGAACAACGGACCAACUCUUCACUCUCGCAAGGAUCCUGGAGGGGGCCUGGGAGUACGCCCAUCCGGUCUACAUGUGUUUUGUGGAUCUGGAGAAGGCGUAUGACCGGGUCCCCCGGGUGAUACUGUGGGAGGUGCUGCGGGAGUAUGGGGUGAGGGGGAUCACUUUUGAGGGCCAUCCAAUCCCUGUACGCCCAAAGCGAGAGUUGUGUCCGGAUACUCGGCAGUAAGUCGGACUCGUUUCCCGUGAUUGUUGGCCUCCGCCAGGGCUGCGCUUUAUCACCAAUCCUGUUCGUGAUUUUCAUGGAUAGGAUAUCGAGGCGUAGUCGUGGAGGAGAGGGGUUG